CUCCAGUCUUUCCGUAGGUGAACCUGCGGAAGGAUCAUUACCGAGUGAGGGCCCUCUGGGUCCAACCUCCCACCCGUGUUUAUUUUACCUUGUUGCUUCGGCGGGCCCGCCUUAACUGGCCGCCGGGGGGCUUACGCCCCCGGGCCCGCGCCCGCCGAAGACACCCUCGAACUCUGUCUGAAGAUUGUAGUCUGAGUGAAAAUAUAAAUUAUUUAAAACUUUCAACAACGGAUCUCUUGGUUCCGGCAUCGAUGAAGAACGCAGCGAAAUGCGAUACGUAAUGUGAAUUGCAAAUUCAGUGAAUCAUCGAGUCUUUGAACGCACAUUGCGCCCCCUGGUAUUCCGGGGGGCAUGCCUGUCCGAGCGUCAUUGCUGCCCUCAAGCACGGCUUGUGUGUUGGGCCCCGUCCUCCGAUCCCGGGGGACGGGCCCGAAAGGCAGCGGCGGCACCGCGUCCGGUCCUCGAGCGUAUGGGGCUUUGUCACCCGCUCUGUAGGCCCGGCCGGCGCUUGCCGAUCAACCCAAAUUUUUAUCCAGGUUGACCUCGGAUCAGGUAGGGAUACCCGCUGAACUUAAGCAUAUCAAUAAGCGGAGGA
This 595-nucleotide ribosomal RNA is filed under the name Penicillium chrysogenum. RNAcentral describes it as "eukaryotic LSU rRNA". The stretch from base 217 to 369 matches the Rfam family "5.8S ribosomal RNA". The record is from RNAcentral. Lineage: Eukaryota; Fungi; Ascomycota; Eurotiomycetes; Eurotiales; Aspergillaceae.